GAUGAACGCUGGCGGCGUGCCUAAUACAUGCAAGUCGAGCGAACGGACGAGUAGCUUGCUUUUCUGAUGUUAGCGGCGGACGGGUGAGUAACACGUGGAUAACCUAUCUAUAAGACUGGGAUAACUUCGGGAAACCGGCGCUAAUACCGGAUAAUAUUUUGAACCGCAUGGUUCAAAAGUGAAAGACGGUCUUGCUGUCACUUAUAUAUGGAUCCGCGCUGCAUUAGCUAGUUGGUAAGGUAACGGCUUACCAAGGCAACGAUGCAUAGCCGACCUGAGAGGGUGAUCGGCCACACUGGAACUGAGACACGGUCCAGACUACUAAGGGAGGCAGCAGUAGGGAAUCUGCCGCAAUGGGCGAAAGCCUGACGGAGCAACGCCGCGUGAGUGAUGAAGGUCUUCGGAUCGUAAAAAUCGGUUAUUAGGGAAGAACAUAUGUGUAAGGAACUGUGCACAACGUGACGGUACCUAAUCAGAAAGCCACGGCUAACUACGUG
RNAcentral lists this ribosomal RNA (497 nucleotides) under uncultured bacterium. Its description in RNAcentral is "partial 16S ribosomal RNA". It matches the Rfam family "Bacterial small subunit ribosomal RNA", at positions 28 to 507 of the family's 1533-position model. The record is from RNAcentral.